AUACGGGCUGCGAGGUACUUUGGGCAACCUCCCAUCCGUGUCUAUUGUACCCUGUUGCUUCGGCGGGCCCGCCGCUUGUCGGCCGCCGGGGGGGCGCCUCUGCCCCCCGGGCCCGUGCCCGCCGGAGACCCCAACACGAACACUGUCUGAAAGCGUGCAGUCUGAGUUGAUUGAAUGCAAUCAGUUAAAACUUUCAACAAUGGAUCUCUUGGUUCCGGCAUCGAUGAAGAACGCAGCGAAAUGCGAUAACUAAUGUGAAUUGCAGAAUUCAGUGAAUCAUCGAGUCUUUGAACGCACAUUGCGCCCCCUGGUAUUCCGGGGGGCAUGCCUGUCCGAGCGUCAUUGCUGCCCUCAAGCCCGGCUUGUGUGUUGGGUCGCCGUCCCCCUCUCCGGGGGGACGGGCCCGAAAGGCAGCGGCGGCACCGCGUCCGAUCCUCGAGCGUAUGGGGCUUUGUCACAUGCUCUGUAGGAUUGGCCGGCGCCUGCCGACGUUUUCCAACCAUUCUUUCCAGGUUGACCUCGGAUCAGGUAGGGAUACCCGCUGAACUUAAGCAUAUCUA
RNAcentral lists this ribosomal RNA (560 nucleotides) under uncultured Aspergillus. RNAcentral describes it as "eukaryotic LSU rRNA". The stretch from base 189 to 342 matches the Rfam family "5.8S ribosomal RNA". The record is from RNAcentral. Lineage: Eukaryota; Fungi; Ascomycota; Eurotiomycetes; Eurotiales; Aspergillaceae.